RNAcentral lists this microRNA (24 nucleotides) under Ananas comosus (pineapple). Its description in RNAcentral is "microRNA s0714_c93a". The record is from RNAcentral. Lineage: Eukaryota; Viridiplantae; Streptophyta; Magnoliopsida; Poales; Bromeliaceae.
AACUGAGGGCGAGGCGGGAGACGA